GACGAACGCUGGCGGCGUGCUUAACACAUGCAAGUCGAACGGACAGGCCCUGCUUUUGUGGGGUGCUCGAGUAGCGAACGGGUGAGUAACACGUGAGUAACCUGCCCUUGACUUUGGGAUAACUUCAGGAAACUGGGGCUAAUACCGGAUAGGAGCUCCUGCUGCACGGUGGGGGUUGGAAAGUUUCGGCGGUUGGGGAUGGACUCGCGGCUUAUCAGCUUGUUGGUGGGGUAGUGGCUUACCAAGGCUUUGACGGGUAGCCGGCCUGAGAGGGUGACCGGCCACAUUGGGACUGAGAUACGGACCAGAAUGCUACGGGAGGCAGCAGGGGGGAGUAUUGCACAGUGGGCGGAAGCCUGAUGCAGCAACGCCGCGUGCGGGAUGACGGCCUUCGGGUUGUAAACCGCUUUCGCCUGUGACGAAGCGUGAGUGACGGUAAUUGGUAAAGAAGCACCGGCUAACUACGUG
This 468-nucleotide ribosomal RNA is filed under the name uncultured bacterium. RNAcentral's name for it is "partial 16S ribosomal RNA". It matches the Rfam family "Bacterial small subunit ribosomal RNA", at positions 28 to 507 of the family's 1533-position model. The record is from RNAcentral.